RNAcentral lists this ribosomal RNA (316 nucleotides) under uncultured bacterium. Its description in RNAcentral is "bacterial SSU rRNA". It matches the Rfam family "Bacterial small subunit ribosomal RNA", at positions 372 to 704 of the family's 1533-position model. The record is from RNAcentral.
UGGAGGAAACUCUGAUGCAGCGAUGCCGCGUGAGGGAAGAAGGUUUUAGGAUUGUAAACCUCUGUCUUUGGGGACGAAAAAUGACGGUACCCAAGGAGGAAGCUCCGGCUAACUACGUGCCAGCAGCCGCGGUAAUACGUAGGGAGCGAGCGUUGUCCGGAAUUACUGGGUGUAAAGGGAGCGUAGGCGGGAUCGCAAGUCAGAUGUGAAAACUAUGGGCUUAACCCAUAAACUGCAUUUGAAACUGUGGUUCUUGAGUGAAGUAGAGGUAAGCGGAAUUCCUAGUGUAGCGGUGAAAUGCGUAGAUAUUAGGAGG